UGGCUCAGAACGAACGCUGGCGGCGCGUUUAAGCAUGCAAGUCGAGCGGCAAGGGCCUUCGGGCCCCUAGAGCGGCGGACGGGUGAGUAACACGUGGACAAUCUGCCCCCCGGCCCGGGAUAGCCCAGGGAAACCUGGAUUAAUACCGGAUGAGACGGGACCCGCGAUGGCGGGAUCCGGGAAAGGCGCUGCGGCGCCGCCGGGGGAUGAGUCUGCGUCCCAUUAGCUAGACGGCGGGGUAACGGCCCACCGUGGCGACGAUGGGUAGCCGGCCUGAGAGGGUGGACGGCCACAUUGGAACUGAGACACGGUCCAGACUCCUACGGGAGGCAGCAGCUAAGAAUCUUCCGCAAUGGGCGAAAGCCUGACGGAGCGACGCCCGCGUGAACGAAGAAGGCCGUGAGGUUGUAAAGUUCUUUUCGGGAGGGGGAACAACCGUGGCAGGGAAUGGCCGCGGGAUGACGUGAAUCCCGGAAUAAGCCCCGGCUAACUACGUGCCAGCCGCUGC
Molecule: ribosomal RNA, 508 nt
Filed under: uncultured bacterium
Lineage: Bacteria
Description: bacterial SSU rRNA
Rfam family: Bacterial small subunit ribosomal RNA
Source: RNAcentral